Molecule: non-coding RNA, 1175 nt
Organism: Sesamum indicum (sesame)
Lineage: Eukaryota; Viridiplantae; Streptophyta; Magnoliopsida; Lamiales; Pedaliaceae
Source: RefSeq, a predicted model, not a curated record
CAUAUUUUUGAAUUUUUUAUAGAAGUCCCACAACCUAACUCCCCGACUUAUCAGAGGUGCCUCCCCCAACAUAGAUGUGGUCGGUUCGCAAGUUGGGGAAGGAUAUGCUGCUGGUCCCAGUCGGACCAAAAAGCGCAAGAAGAGGAAGCAUGGAAGAUCGCGUUUUCCCCGGCGAUCUGAAGAAGAGGAAGCAGCUGAUCGUGCCUUAGAAGAUCAAAACCUGAGUUAUCUUAAGGAGAUCGAAGAGUGGGAGCGAACAACCCAAGGCGAACUUCGCACUGAAAGUCAGAUUUUUGCCGAGUUGACUGGGGAGAAACUCGUCCCAAACUGGAGGAUCUCCUACCUGAGCACUGUGCUCAAUACUGAGGCAGGUCAAGAUUCUUUUGAACUCUACCAAGCCAACUGCCUCCCUCGCGACCAGGCAGCACUUCUCAAGACCCCCCUACCCAAGACUGCAACCUUUUUAAGGGCUAUGUCCAUCAAAUGCACAGCCCUUCGCAAACAUCAGAAGGAUAGCAGCAAGAAAGUGACUUUCGCAUUAAACGAGCACCCAAUUGAACGAGCUGCGAGCUAAGGAAAGGAGCUGGGACAAAGAGCGCAUUAACUAGGAAGAGGAGCGUGCAGUCUUUGAAGCUAAACUCAAGGCAAUGGAAGAGUCGAGGGCUGUUGAGGUCGCACGGGCGCGAGAGGAUGGCCAGAAGAUUGAAGUAGGAUGUGAGGAGUUCUUGAACUCCCAAGAGUACGCCAAUGACUUCCUUAAAACCCCCAUAUUCCAGGUCGGGUGGGCACCGGAUUCAAUAAGUGUAAAGCUAAAGCCAGCAACAUAGGUGCGUUUGUAGAGGGGUUCGAUCAAAGUCGCCUCAACCCUUAUCUGGAUGAGAACUUCCAGCCUUAUGCCCCUGAGUCGCCCUUGGAGAUCGAAGGGAGCGAGUUCGCUAGCCUGCUUGACGAGGUGGAGGCUAAGGAUGACUGAGCCAGAUCUGCGAUCCUGCACAUACAUUUGUAAUGGGAUCGUAUCCCCUUUUGAUCGAACAAUUAACUUGUCAGCUGCUAUAUUUCUUUAAUCUUGCAAGUUUAAUACAUAGCUUUUUAAGAUCGAAUUCUAUACUUUCAAACCUUUUCCACGAUCCCCACAGGGUCGAUCGAUCAUAAAUUUAUGCUGCUAAUUCCUUAUA